UGGCAGUUAGAGGCGAUGAAGGACGUGUAAGUCUGCGAAAAGCUGUGGUGAGCCGACAAAAUGCAUUUGAGCCACAGAUGUCCGAAUGGGGAAACCCACCUGUUUACAGGUAUCGUUAACUGAAUACAUAGGUUAACGAGGCAAACGAGGGGAACUGAAACAUCUAAGUACCCUUAGGAAAAGAAAUCAACCGAGAUUCCCCUAGUAGCGGCGAGCGAACGGGGAGCAGCCCUUAAGCUGUUUAGAAUUUAGUGGAAUCCUUUGGGAAGAGGAGCGAUACAAGGUGAUAGCCCUGUACACGACGGAUUCUUUACAGUGAAAUCGAGUAGGUCGGGACACGUGUUAUCUUGACUGAAUAUGGGGGGACCAUCCUCCAAGGCUAAAUACUCCUAACUGACCGAUAGUGAACCAGUACCGUGAGGGAAAGGCGAAAAGAGCCCCUGUGAGGGGAGUGAAAUAGAACCUGAAACCGUAUACGUACAAGCAGUGGGAGCCACUUCGUGUGGUGACUGCGUACCUUUUGUAUAAUGGGUCAGCGACUUAUAUUUAGUAGCAAGGUUAACCGUUUAGGGGAGCCGUAGCGAAAGCGAGUGUUAACUGCGCGUCUAGUUGCUAGGUAUAGACCCGAAACCCGGUGAUCUAGCCAUGGGCAGGUUGAAGGUUGAGUAACGUCAACUGGAGGACCGAACCCACUAACGUU
Molecule: ribosomal RNA, 700 nt
Filed under: Lentisphaerota bacterium
Lineage: Bacteria; Pseudomonadati; Lentisphaerota
Description: Lentisphaerae bacterium (invertebrate metagenome) partial 23S ribosomal RNA
Rfam family: Bacterial large subunit ribosomal RNA
Source: RNAcentral